Molecule: long non-coding RNA, 3374 nt
Organism: Ctenopharyngodon idella (grass carp)
Lineage: Eukaryota; Metazoa; Chordata; Actinopteri; Cypriniformes; Xenocyprididae
Exons: 3
Source: RefSeq, a predicted model, not a curated record
AAACAGACAUUGAAAACACUUCGCAAUAACUAUUUCACUGCAGAAAUUUGUGGUACUUUGGAAAUCACAUAAUGGCAAGAAUGAGUAUAUAAACAAAACGGUAUUAUUAUUAUGCCAAAUUAUUAUUGCAAAUGUGGCACAGAAGCACUUCAGAGCUGGCAUUAAGGUGUCUUAACACACUGUUUAAUGCGGAGAAAUUUACAAAUGUGGCACAGAAACACUUCAGAGCUGGCAUUAAGGUGUCUUAACACUGUUUAAUGCUGAGGUAUUUACAAAUGUGGCACAGAAGCGCUUCAGAGCUGGCAUUAAGGUGUCUUAACACAGUUUAAUGCUGAGGCAUUUACAAAUGUGGCACAGAAGCACUUCAGAGCUGGCAUUUAGGUGUCUUAACACUGUUUAAUGCUGAGGCAUUUACAAAUGUGGCACAGAAGCGCUUCAGAGCUGGCAUUAAGGUGUCUUAACACAGACUGUUUAAUGCGGAGAAAUUUACAAAUGUGGCACAGAAGCACUUCAGAGCUGGCAUUAAGGUGUCUUAACACUGUUUAAUGCUGAGGCAUAUACAAAUGUGGCACAGAAGCGCUUCAGAGCUGGCAUUAAGGUGUCUUAACACUGUUUAAUGCUGAGAAAUUUACAAAUGUGGCACAGAAGCACUUCAGAGCUGGCAUUUAGGUGUCUUAACACAGACUGUUUAAUGCAGAGAAAUUUACAAAUGUGGCACAGAAGCGCUUCAGAGCUGGCAUUAAGGUGUCUUAACACUGUUUAAUGCUGAGGUAUUUACAAAUGUGGCACAGAAGCGCUUCAGAGCUGGCAUUAAGGUGUCUUAACACACUGUUUAAUGCGGAGAAAUUUACAAAUGUGGCACAUAAGCGCUUCAGAGCUGGCAUUAAGGUGUCUUAACACUGUUUAAUGCUGAGGUAUUUACAAAUGUGGCACAGAAGCGCUUCAGAGCUGGCAUUAAGGUGUCUUAACAGAGACUGUUUAAUGCGGAGAAAUUUACAAAUGUGGCACAUAAGCACUUCAGAGCUGGCAUUAAGGUGUCUUAACACUGUUUAAUGCUGAGGUAUUUACAAAUGUGGCACAGAAGCGCUUCAGAGCUGGCAUUAAGGUGUCUUAACACACUGUUUAAUGCGGAGAAAUUUACAAAUGUGGCACAUAAGCGCUUCAGAGCUGGCAUUAAGGUGUCUUAACACUGUUUAAUGCUGAGGUAUUUACAAAUGUGGCACAGAAGCGCUUCAGAGCUGGCAUUAAGGUGUCUUAACAGAGACUGUUUAAUGCGGAGAAAUUUACAAAUGUGGCACAUAAGCACUUCAGAGCUGGCAUUAAGGUGUCUUAACACUGUUUAAUGCUGAGGUAUUUACAAAUGUGGCACAGAAGCGCUUCAGAGCUGGCAUUAAGGUGUCUUAACACUGUUUAAUGCUGAGGUAUUUACAAAUGUGGCACAGAAGUGCUUCAGAGCUGGCAUUUAGGUGUCUUAACACUGUUUAAUGCUGAGGCAUUUACAAAUGUGGCACAGAAGCGCUUCAGAGCUGGCAUUAAGGUGUCUUAACACAGACUGUUUAAUGCGGAGAAAUUUACAAAUGUGGCACAGAAGCACUUCAGAGCUGGCAUUAAGGUGUCUUAACACUGUUUAAUGCUGAGGCAUAUACAAAUGUGGCACAGAAGCGCUUCAGAGCUGGCAUUAAGGUGUCUUAACACUGUUUAAUGCUGAGGCAUUUACAAAUGUGGCACAGAAGCGCUUCAGAGCUGGCAUUUAGGUGUCUUAACACUGUUUAAUGCUGAGGCAUUUACAAAUGUGGCACAGAAGCGCUUCAGAGCUGGCAUUAAGGUGUCUUAACACAGACUGUUUAAUGCGGAGAAAUUUACAAAUGUGGCACAGAAGCACUUCAGAGCUGGCAUUAAGGUGUCUUAACACUGUUUAAUGCUGAGGCAUAUACAAAUGUGGCACAGAAGCGCUUCAGAGCUGGCAUUAAGGUGUCUUAACACUGUUUAAUGCUGAGGUAUUUACAAAUGUGGCACAGAAGCGCUUCAGAGCUGGCAUUAAGGUGUCUUAACACACUGUUUAAUGCUGAGGCAUUUACAAAUGUGGCACAGAAGCGCUUCAGAGCUGGCAUUAAGGUGUCUUAACUAUGUUUAAUGCUGAGGCAUUUACAAAUGUGGCACAGAAGCGCUUCCGAGCUGGCAUUAAGGUGUCUUAACACAGACUGUUUAAUGCGGAGAAAUUUACAAAUGUGGCACAGAAGCACUUCAGAGCUGGCAUUUAGGUGUCUUAACACAGACUGUUUAAUGCAGAGAAAUUUACAAAUGUGGCACAGAAGCGCUUCAGAGCUGGCAUUAAGGUGUCUUAACACUGUUUAAUGCUGAGGUAUUUACAAAUGUGGCACAGAAGCGCUUCAGAGCUGGCAUUAAGGUGUCUUAACACACUGUUUAAUGCGGAGAAAUUUACAAAUGUGGCACAUAAGCGCUUCAGAGCUGGCAUUAAGGUGUCUUAACACUGUUUAAUGCUGAGGUAUUUACAAAUGUGGCACAGAAGCGCUUCAGAGCUGGCAUUAAGGUGUCUUAACAGAGACUGUUUAAUGCGGAGAAAUUUACAAAUGUGGCACAUAAGCACUUCAGAGCUGGCAUUAAGGUGUCUUAACACUGUUUAAUGCUGAGGUAUUUACAAAUGUGGCACAGAAGCGCUUCAGAGCUGGCAUUAAGGUGUCUUAACACUGUUUAAUGCUGAGGUAUUUACAAAUGUGGCACAGAAGCGCUUCAGAGCUGGCAUUAAGGUGUCGUUACACAGACUGUUUAAUGCAGAGACAUUUACAAAUAUGGCUCAGAAGUGCUUCAGAGCUGGCAUUAAGGUGUCUUCACACAGACUUUAUUGAGGUGGCAUUUACACAGCAAUUUCAACUGUAUACUUUGACACUAGGGACUGAGGUGGGUCAGAGCAGGCAUAAUUUGGUCUGGCUUUUAUGCAGCAUUAUGUCUUUACACAGAAUUUUGAGCAGGCACAGAGCAGCCUUAACUCACCUGUGUAAAAAGCCUUUAUUAUUUAAUAUUAUUGAAUCGCUCAAAAGGGUCAGAUUAUCAUUCAUACAAUUUAAACAUGUACUACGUUGCAUUUCUAUCUGAGAGGAAAGUAGCAUUUUCUUUAGCAUUUUCUUUACUUGCCAAAAUCACUCUGUCCCUCACAUUUUAAGUGUUAAUUUUAGACCCUGUGGCCAGUUGCAUAAAAUAAUAACUUUAUAACUAGUCUGACCAACUAGUCAGUCUUACUUUUAUGAUUGAAAAAUAAGAACAAUCUAACUUUUUAUGUAAGUUGACCAGUAUUAAAGUAAAGAAACUGAAGACUAACUAGUCUAAGCCAUUUAUGCGACUGGCGACUGGUUGUU